Molecule: ribosomal RNA, 270 nt
Filed under: uncultured archaeon
Lineage: Archaea
Description: partial 16S ribosomal RNA
Rfam family: Archaeal small subunit ribosomal RNA
Source: RNAcentral
CAGCCCCUCGAGUGGUGGGGAUGAUUAUUUGGCCUAAAGCGUCCGUAGCCGGCCGAGCAAGUCUUCCGUUAAAUCCAGCGUCUCAAACGUUGGACUGCGGGAGAUACUACACGGCUAGAGAGUGGGAGAGGUCAGCGGUAUUCUGGGGGUAGGGGCGAAAUCCUUUGAUCCCCGGAGGACCACCAGUGGCGAAGGCUGCUGACUAGAACACGUCUGACGGUCAGGGACGAAAGCUGGGGUAGCGAACCGGAUUAGAUACCCGAGUAGUCC